AACAUAUCUGAGAGUAACUGUUCAGGUAUUGACGGUAUUUAACCAGAAAGCCACGGCUAACUACGUGCCAGCAGCCGCGGUAAUACGUAGGUGGCAAGCGUUGUCCGGAUUUAUUGGGCGUAAAGCGAGCGCAGGCGGUUUUUUAAGUCUGAUGUGAAAGCCUUCGGCUCAACCGAAGAAGUGCAUCGGAAACUGGGAAACUUGAGUGCAGAAGAGGACAGUGGAACUCCAUGUGUAGCGGUGAAAUGCGUAGAUAUAUGGAAGAACACCAGUGGCGAAGGCGGCUGUCUGGUCUGUAACUGACGCUGAGGCUCGAAAGUAUGGGUAGCAAACAGGAUUAGAUACCCUGGUAGUCCAUACCGUAAACGAUGAAUGCUAAGUGUUGGAGGGUUUCCGCCCUUCAGUGCUGCAGCUAACGCAUUAAGCAUUCCGCCUGGGGAGUACGGCCGCAAGGCUGAAACUCAAAGGAAUUGACGGGGGCCCGCACAAGCGGUGGAGCAUGUGGUUUAAUUCGAAGCUACGCGAAGAACCUUACCAGGUCUUGACAUACUAUGCAAAUCUAAGAGAUUAGACGUUCCCUUCGGGGACAUGGAUACAGGUGGUGC
Molecule: ribosomal RNA, 605 nt
Filed under: Lactiplantibacillus plantarum
Lineage: Bacteria; Bacillati; Bacillota; Bacilli; Lactobacillales; Lactobacillaceae
Description: bacterial SSU rRNA
Rfam family: Bacterial small subunit ribosomal RNA
Source: RNAcentral